AUUGAACGCUGGCGGCAGGCCUAACACAUGCAAGUCGAGCGAGCGGCGGACGGGUGAGUAAUGUAUGGGGACUGCCCGAUAGAGGGGGAUAACUACUGGAAACGGUAGCUAAUACCGCAUACUAUCGGAUAACCCAUAUGGGAUUAGCUAGUAGGUGCGGUAAUGGCUGACAUAGGCGACGAUCCCUAGCUGGUCUGAGAGGAUGCUCAGCCACAGUGGGACUGCUGAACGGCCCAGACUCCGACGGAGGCAGCCGUGGGGAAUUUUGCACAAUGGGCGAAAGCCUGAUGCAUCGCUGCCGCGUGUAUGAGGAAGGCCCUAUGGUUGUAAAGUACUUACAGUCGGGAGGCGUUACCGACAGAAGAAGCACCGGCUAACUCCGUGCCAGCAGCCGCGGUAAUUC
This 403-nucleotide ribosomal RNA is filed under the name uncultured bacterium. RNAcentral's name for it is "partial 16S ribosomal RNA". It matches the Rfam family "Bacterial small subunit ribosomal RNA", at positions 30 to 526 of the family's 1533-position model. The record is from RNAcentral.